This 440-nucleotide ribosomal RNA is filed under the name uncultured bacterium. RNAcentral's name for it is "partial 16S ribosomal RNA". It matches the Rfam family "Bacterial small subunit ribosomal RNA", at positions 338 to 795 of the family's 1533-position model. The record is from RNAcentral.
CCUACGGGAGGCAGCAGUGGGGAAUAUUGCACAAUGGGGGGAACCCUGAUGCAGCGACGCCGCGUGGGUGAGGAAGUACUUCGGUAUGGAAAGCCCUAUCAGCAGGGAAGAAAAUGACGGUACCUGACUAAGAAGCCCCGGCUAACUACGUUCCAGCAGCCGCGGGAAUACGUAGGGGGCAAGCGUUAUCCGGAUGUACUGGGUGUAAAGGGAGCGUAGGCGGCGUGGCAAGUCUGAUGUGAAAGGCCGGGGCUCAACCCCGGGACUGCAUUGGAAACUGGCAUGCUGGAGUGCCGGAGGGGCAAGCGGAAUGCCUAGUGUAGCGGUGAAAUGCGUAGAUAUUAGGAGGAACACCGGUGGCGAAGGCGGCUUGCUGGACGGUAACUGACGUUGAGGCUCGAAAGCGUGGGGAGCGAACAGGAUUAGAUACCCGGGUAGUC